CACCACAUCACACCAACAGGGCAACAUGACUACUAGUCUUUCGGCUGGGGCGGCCACGGGGAAAAACAAAACCCCCGAGAUGAAAGGAUAAACCCCCUAUCCACGAACCACCAUUCUAAGAAUCAACAAAUGACACCACUGACCCAACA
RNAcentral lists this ribosomal RNA (149 nucleotides) under Stumpffia jeannoeli. RNAcentral's name for it is "partial 16S ribosomal RNA". The record is from RNAcentral. Lineage: Eukaryota; Metazoa; Chordata; Amphibia; Anura; Microhylidae.